UCGGAGUGGGUGGGGCAAAUCCCCCAAAGUGGGCGGGGCCAGCCCAAAAGUGGGCGUGGCCUCAUUGUUAGCCCCUCCCCUUUCCCCCAGGAGCGAUGACGUCAUCCCCGCCCCACGGGAGCCCCGCCCCCUUUCCCAAAUAAAGGCAUUGAUUGGUCGCACUCCUGAAUAUGGAAAUGACGGAGCUUUUAUUGGGGAGGGGCGUGGCCGGGUGGGCGUGGCCAAUGGGCGUGGUCUGGAUGGUGUGGUCAUUGUGGGCGUGGUCAGGGUGGCUGUGGGCGUGGCCAUGAUGGGUGUGGCCACUAUGGGUGUGGUCAGUCUGUGUGUACUAAUUGUGGGCGUGGCCAUGAUGGGUGUGGCCUGGGUGGGUGUGGUCAAUGUGGGCGUGGCCAUGAUGGGUGUGGCCACUAUGGGUGUGGUCAUUGUGGGCGUGGCUUGGGGUGUGGGAGUGGUCAGUGUGGGUGUGGUCAAUGUGGGCGUGGUCUGGUUGGCUGUGGGCGUGGUCUGGGUGGGUGUGAUCAUGUGGAGGUGGGUGUGGCCAAUGUGGGCGUGGUCUGGUUGGGUGUGGGCGUGGUCAGGGUGGAUGUAGGGGUGGGUAAUGUGGGCGUGGUCUGGGUGGGUCCAAUGUGGGCGUGGCCACGGUGGGCGUGGCCAUGGUCUGGGUGGGCGUGGCCUGAGUGGGGCUGGGCUUGCCCCGGGUGGGCGUGUCCUCGGUGGGCGUGUCCCGGGUGGGCGUGUCCCGGGUGGGCGUGUCCCGGGUGGGCGUGUCCCGGGUGGGCGUGGCCUCACUGCCGCUCGUAGAUGAGGCGCAGCAGGCGCAGGCUGGGCCCGUAGCGCUGCUGCUGCCGCUGCGCCGCCUCCCGCCACCUGCGGCACCGGGACCGACCGGUUAGAACCGGUACGGACCGGUUACAGACCAGUACGGACCGGUUACAGACCAGUAUGGACCAGUUAGAGACCGGUAUGGACCAGUAUGGACCGGUUAGAGACCGGUAUGGACCAGUAUGGACCCGUUAGAGACCAGUAUGUACCGGUUAGAGACCGGUAUGGACCUGAAUAGACCGGUAUGGACCGGUUAGAGACCAGUAUGGACCAGUUAGAGACCGGUAUGGACUGGUUAGAGACCGGUAUGGACCAGUAUGGACCGGUUAGAGACCGGUAUGGACCAGUAUGGACUGGUUAGAACCAGUAUGGAUCAGUAUGGACCGGUUAGAGACCAGUAUGAACCAGUAUGGACCGGUUAGAGACCAGUAUGGACUGGUUAGAACCAGUAUGGAUCAG
Molecule: long non-coding RNA, 1281 nt
Filed under: Lonchura striata (white-rumped munia)
Lineage: Eukaryota; Metazoa; Chordata; Aves; Passeriformes; Estrildidae
Description: domestica (Bengalese finch) lncRNA (ENSLSDG00000002709.1)
Source: RNAcentral